CUAGCCUGCUCNCUGACAUAAAGUGUUAAAUAGCCGCGGUAUCUUGACCGCGAAAAGGUAGCAUAAUCAUUAUUUCCUUAAUUGGGAACUUGUAUGAAUGGUUGGACAAAGAAAAAUUUGUCCCUUGCACUGUAAUUAAAUUUAAAUUCUAAGGGAAAAGGCUUAGAUUAUCCAGAGGGACAAAAAGACCCUUAAAGGCUUUAUAAAUUUAUUAAUUUCGUUUAUUUUUUAUUAUAAUAAUGAUGAUAAGAGAAUUUAUUUGGUUGGGGCAACCGAAGUAUAAUUUUAAAUAACUGCUAUAAUUUAAUACAAUGAUUUUUGUCUUAUACAAUAAUUGAUCCUCAAAGAGAUUAAAGACCAAGUUACUUUAGGGAUAACAGCGUAAUUUAUCCUGAGAGUUCUUAUCAAAGGAAAAGUUUGCGACCUCGAUGUUGAAUUAAAAUGUCUACCUAGUGCAGCAGCUAGGAAAGAAGGUCUGUUCGACCUUUAAUUUUUUACAUGAUC
RNAcentral lists this ribosomal RNA (504 nucleotides) under Callinectes sapidus (blue crab). RNAcentral's name for it is "partial large subunit ribosomal RNA". It matches the Rfam family "Bacterial large subunit ribosomal RNA", at positions 1854 to 2605 of the family's 2925-position model. Lineage: Eukaryota; Metazoa; Arthropoda; Malacostraca; Decapoda; Portunidae. The record is from RNAcentral.